GGCGGUAUUGUUAAGCUAGGAUGUGAAAGCCCCGGGCUCAACCUGGGAACUGCAUUUCAAACUGGCAAACUAGAGUGUGAGAGAGGGGGGUGGAAUUCCAAGUGUAGCGGUGAAAUGCGUAGAUAUCUGAAGGAAUACCGAUGGCGAAGGCGGCCCCCUGGGUCAAUACUGACGCUCAUGUGCGAAAGCGUGGGGAGCAAACAGGAUUAGAUACCCUGGUAGUCCACGCCGUAAACGAUGACUGCUAGAAGUUGGAAACUUCAGUUCUGGGUUACAAAGCUAACGGAUUAAGUAUACCGCCUGGGGAGUACGGCCGCAAGGUUA
This 324-nucleotide ribosomal RNA is filed under the name uncultured bacterium. Its description in RNAcentral is "bacterial SSU rRNA". It matches the Rfam family "Bacterial small subunit ribosomal RNA", at positions 574 to 896 of the family's 1533-position model. The record is from RNAcentral.